GAUGAACGCUGGCGGCGUGCCUAAUACAUGCAAGUCGAGCGGACAGACGCUGCGCUUGCUCCUUUGACGUUUGCGGCGGACGGGUGUGUAACACGUGGAUAACCUACCUAUAAUACUGGGAUAACUUCGGGAAACGGGAGCUAAUACCGGAUAAUAUAUUGAACCGCAUGGUGCAAUGGUGAAAGACGGCUUUGGUGGCACUAAUAGAUGGAUCCGCGCGGGAUGGGUGAGUUGGUAAGGUAACGGCUUACGAAGGCAACGAUGCGUACCCGACCUGAGAGGGGGAUCGGCCACAGUGGACGUGAGCGACGGUCCAGACUCCGAGGGGCGGCAGCAGUAGGGACGCUUCCGCAAUGGGCGAAAGACUGACGAGCAAGGCCGCGUGAGUGAUGAAGGUCUUCGGAUCGUAAAACUCUGUUAUUAGGGAAGAACAAAUGUGUAAGUAAAUAUGCACGUCUUGACGGUAACUAGUCAGAAAGCAACGGCUAACUACGUG
RNAcentral lists this ribosomal RNA (496 nucleotides) under uncultured bacterium. RNAcentral's name for it is "partial 16S ribosomal RNA". It matches the Rfam family "Bacterial small subunit ribosomal RNA", at positions 28 to 507 of the family's 1533-position model. The record is from RNAcentral.